UACGUAGGGGGCAAGCGUUGUCCGGAUUUAUUGGGCGUAAAGAGCGUGUAGGCGGCCAAACAGGUCAGCUGUGAAAACUCGAGGCUCAACCUCGAGACGUCGGUUGAAACCGUUUGGCUAGAGUCCGGAAGAGGAGAGUGGAAUUCCCGGUGUAGCGGUGAAAUGCGCAGAUAUCGGGAAGAACACCCGUGGCGAAGGCGGCUCUCUGGGACGGUGCUGACGCUGAGACGCGAAAGCGUGGGGAGCGAACAGG
Molecule: ribosomal RNA, 253 nt
Filed under: uncultured bacterium
Lineage: Bacteria
Description: partial 16S ribosomal RNA
Rfam family: Bacterial small subunit ribosomal RNA
Source: RNAcentral